UCCAUGAAGCCGGGUCCCAGCUACUUGGGAGACUGAGGUGGGAGGAUCGCUUGAGCCCAGGAGUUCUGGGCUGCAGUGCGCUAUGCUGAUCGGGUGUCCGCACUAAGUUCGGCAUCAAUAUGGUGACCUCCCGGGAGAGGGGGACCACCAGGUUGCCUAAGGAGGGGUGAACCAGCCAAGGUCGGAAACAGAGCAGGUCAAAACUCCCGUGCUGAUCAGCAGUGGGAUUGUGCCUGUGAAUAGCCACUACACUCCAGCCUGGGCAACAUAGCGAGACCCUGUCUCA
RNAcentral lists this signal recognition particle RNA (286 nucleotides) under Cebus imitator (Panamanian white-faced capuchin). Its description in RNAcentral is "Metazoan signal recognition particle RNA (ENSCCAG00000005539.1)". It matches the Rfam family "Metazoan signal recognition particle RNA". Rfam says of the family: The signal recognition particle (SRP) is a universally conserved ribonucleoprotein. The record is from RNAcentral. Lineage: Eukaryota; Metazoa; Chordata; Mammalia; Primates; Cebidae.